AUGGAUGGGCUCCGAGGGGCUUGCGGGAGGGGGGCGCCAGUGUUCGGGGCCGUUUUGGCGGCUAUGCAGGAUUGGCAGGAGCUGCGAUGCUCACACUUGCCUCGCCGACCGCCAUUUCACAUCCAGCAGAGGAGGCGGGGGCAGCCGCUGAGACGGUUUUUCACAAGUAUUCCCACGAGCAUUCUGCUGAGAUGAACAAUCAGAUGACCUCGUGUGAGAUUUGGAGGAGAGAAGGAAAUGGAGAGCAUGCGUCUGCCGCUUCUGUGGUUUCUGUCGGACAGAUUCCUAUAAGUGAAACUGCUGGGCCAAAGAGGAAGCACAUAUAAAACUGUGAUAGUGAAAUUGCCUUCUGGGAGAUUGCACCAAUUUACACUCCUAUCAAGAGUGAUUGGGAAUAUUCAUUUCUCUCUAACUCCACUAACACUGGAUGUUGUCCAAAGUUUUUAUUUUUGCACAACUAAUCAAGGAAAAGGUAUCUUUAAG
This 483-nucleotide long non-coding RNA is filed under the name Homo sapiens (human). Its description in RNAcentral is "non-protein coding TRAF3IP2-AS1:36". The record is from RNAcentral. Lineage: Eukaryota; Metazoa; Chordata; Mammalia; Primates; Hominidae.